GCACCAGAGGAGGAAGGUCAAACUUUUAUUUAUGCUUGACGAGGUGGAUCGAAGAUACAACCAUUACUGUGAACAAAUGCAAAUGGUAGUGAAUUCAUUUGAUCUAGUAAUGGGGUUUGGAGCAGCAGUUCCUUACACAGCCCUUGCCCAGAAGGCCAUGUCGAGGCAUUUUCGGUGUCUAAAGGAUGCAAUUGCCGCACAAUUGAAACAUAGUUGUGAACUAAUUGGGGAGAAAGAUGGAGCUGGAAGCUCAGGUAUAACAAAAGGAGAGACUCCAAGGCUAAGAUUGUUAGAGCAAAGCUUAAGACAACAAAGAGCCUUUCAUCAAAUGGGUAUGAUGGAACAAGAAGCUUGGAGACCACAGAGAGGCCUACCUGAACGAUCUGUCAACAU
Molecule: unclassified non-coding RNA, 393 nt
Filed under: Hevea brasiliensis (rubber tree)
Lineage: Eukaryota; Viridiplantae; Streptophyta; Magnoliopsida; Malpighiales; Euphorbiaceae
Source: RNAcentral